AUUGAACGCUGGCGGCGUGCCUAAUACAUGCAAGUCGAACGCAGUGGGGACGGGUGAGUAACACGUGGGUAACCUCCCAUCAGAGGGGAUAACACUUGGAAACAGGUGCUAAACCGAUACUGAUGGAUGGACCCGCUGUGCAUUAGCUAGUUGGUGGGGUAACGGCUCACCAAGGCCACGAUGCAUAGCCGACCUGGUAGGGUGAUGGGCCACACUGGGACUGGGACAGGGCCCAGACUCUUACGGGAGGAAGCAGUGGGGAAUCUUCGGCAAUGGACGAAAUUCGGACCGAGCAAGGCCGCGGGAGUGAAGAAGGUUUUCGGUUCUUAAAACUCUUUUGUUAGAGAAGCGGUAUCUAACUAGAAAGCCACGGCUAACUACGUGCCAGCAGCCGCGGUAAUAC
RNAcentral lists this ribosomal RNA (403 nucleotides) under uncultured bacterium. RNAcentral describes it as "partial 16S ribosomal RNA". It matches the Rfam family "Bacterial small subunit ribosomal RNA", at positions 30 to 526 of the family's 1533-position model. The record is from RNAcentral.